RNAcentral lists this ribosomal RNA (388 nucleotides) under uncultured bacterium. RNAcentral describes it as "bacterial SSU rRNA". It matches the Rfam family "Bacterial small subunit ribosomal RNA", at positions 28 to 417 of the family's 1533-position model. The record is from RNAcentral.
AUUGAACGCUGGCGGCGUGCCUAACACAUGCAAGUCGAGCGGUAAGGCCCUUUCGGGGGUACACGAGCGGCGAACGGGUGAGUAACACGUGGGUGACCUGCCCUCAGCUCUGGGAUAAGCCUGGGAAACCGGGUCUAAUACUGGAUAUGACUCCAUGACGCAUGUUGUGGGGUGGAAAGCCUUGUGCGGCUGAGGAUGGGCCCGCGGCCUAUCAGCUUGUUGGUGGGGUGAUGGCCUACCAAGGCGACGACGGGUAGCCGGCCUGAGAGGGCGACCGGCCACACUGGGACUGAGACACGGCCCAGACUCCUACGGGAGGCAGCAGUGGGGAAUCUUGCGCAAUGGGCGAAAGCCUGACGCAGCGACGCCGCGUGAGGGAUGACGGCCU